RNAcentral lists this ribosomal RNA (759 nucleotides) under Triticum aestivum (bread wheat). RNAcentral's name for it is "partial small subunit ribosomal RNA". The record is from RNAcentral. Lineage: Eukaryota; Viridiplantae; Streptophyta; Magnoliopsida; Poales; Poaceae.
AUGUUCUUGGCCGGGUCCUACGGGCCGCACCCAGCUGCGCCGCCCAUCGCCGCCCCCGUGCCGCCCUGGCUGCCGUGGCAGCCGCCGCACCAGGCGGCCUUCGCCGCGCUCGCCGGGCCGCCGCAGCUGCCAUCCAUCGCCACCACCGCCCAGCCCUGGUUGCAGCUACAGACGCCGCUCCUGGCGGCCUCCGCCGCGCCCGGCGCUCCGCCGCAGCAGCCGCUGCCGCUGCCCGGCGCGACACUGCAGCAACCGCUGCAGCUGCAGCAGCCACCGCCGGUCAGCUCCGCAGCCCAGUAUGGGAUGCCCUACGACGGGAGUGCGACGACCUCAUUCCCAUCAGCGCCGCCGUCAUCCCAGGGCGUCCACAUCCAGCAGAUCAAGUCCCCACCGUCGCCGUCACCGCUUCCGUCUUGGAUCGCUACCCGCCACGUGUCGGCGGCGGUGAGGCUGCAGGCUGUUGCACGCGGCCUCCUAGUGCGUCGGCGUGUGCGGGAGAUGCGUGGUCUGCAGCUGCCGCUCCUCCAAGUUGCCCUUUGCUGCGCAAAGGACCUCGAUCUCGUCCGCUGCGUCGGGGAUCUUGGGCAUGCGGUUUCCCCCACGGACGGCGGGCAUGCUGUUUUCCCCGCGGGCAGCGUCCUCAAAGUCUGCGACAUCGGCGGGUGGGGAGGCGCACCCUUCCUCGCCAGCCUCCAUCGCAAGCCCUCCACUCUUUCCUGUGCGGUGCAGACCAACAGCAGUCCGGCGGGGAGAAGGUAG